GACGAAGGGGGCUAGCGUUGUUCGGAAUUACUGGGCGUAAAGCGAGUGUAGGUGGUUUUCCAAGUUGGAUGUGAAAGCCUUGAGCUCAACUCAAGAAAUGCAUUCAGGACUGGGAGACGAGAGGACCGGAGAGGAUAGUGGAAUUCCCAGUGUAGUGGUGAAAUACGUAGAGAUUGGGAAGAACACCAGUGGCGAAGGCGGCUAUCUGGACGGUUUCUGACACUAAGACUCGAAAGCGUGGGGAGCAAACAGG
Molecule: ribosomal RNA, 253 nt
Filed under: uncultured bacterium
Lineage: Bacteria
Description: partial 16S ribosomal RNA
Rfam family: Bacterial small subunit ribosomal RNA
Source: RNAcentral